Molecule: ribosomal RNA, 1528 nt
Filed under: Enterobacter asburiae
Lineage: Bacteria; Pseudomonadati; Pseudomonadota; Gammaproteobacteria; Enterobacterales; Enterobacteriaceae
Also listed under: 2 other names
Description: 16S ribosomal RNA
Rfam family: Bacterial small subunit ribosomal RNA
Source: RNAcentral
AGAGUUUGAUCAUGGCUCAGAUUGAACGCUGGCGGCAGGCCUAACACAUGCAAGUCGAGCGGUAGCACAGAGAGCUUGCUCUCGGGUGACGAGCGGCGGACGGGUGAGUAAUGUCUGGGAAACUGCCUGAUGGAGGGGGAUAACUACUGGAAACGGUAGCUAAUACCGCAUAACGUCGCAAGACCAAAGAGGGGGACCUUCGGGCCUCUUGCCAUCAGAUGUGCCCAGAUGGGAUUAGCUAGUAGGUGGGGUAACGGCUCACCUAGGCGACGAUCCCUAGCUGGUCUGAGAGGAUGACCAGCCACACUGGAACUGAGACACGGUCCAGACUCCUACGGGAGGCAGCAGUGGGGAAUAUUGCACAAUGGGCGCAAGCCUGAUGCAGCCAUGCCGCGUGUAUGAAGAAGGCCUUCGGGUUGUAAAGUACUUUCAGCGGGGAGGAAGGCGAUAAGGUUAAUAACCUUGUCGAUUGACGUUACCCGCAGAAGAAGCACCGGCUAACUCCGUGCCAGCAGCCGCGGUAAUACGGAGGGUGCAAGCGUUAAUCGGAAUUACUGGGCGUAAAGCGCACGCAGGCGGUCUGUCAAGUCGGAUGUGAAAUCCCCGGGCUCAACCUGGGAACUGCAUUCGAAACUGGCAGGCUAGAGUCUUGUAGAGGGGGGUAGAAUUCCAGGUGUAGCGGUGAAAUGCGUAGAGAUCUGGAGGAAUACCGGUGGCGAAGGCGGCCCCCUGGACAAAGACUGACGCUCAGGUGCGAAAGCGUGGGGAGCAAACAGGAUUAGAUACCCUGGUAGUCCACGCCGUAAACGAUGUCGACUUGGAGGUUGUGCCCUUGAGGCGUGGCUUCCGGAGCUAACGCGUUAAGUCGACCGCCUGGGGAGUACGGCCGCAAGGUUAAAACUCAAAUGAAUUGACGGGGGCCCGCACAAGCGGUGGAGCAUGUGGUUUAAUUCGAUGCAACGCGAAGAACCUUACCUACUCUUGACAUCCAGAGAACUUUCCAGAGAUGGAUUGGUGCCUUCGGGAACUCUGAGACAGGUGCUGCAUGGCUGUCGUCAGCUCGUGUUGUGAAAUGUUGGGUUAAGUCCCGCAACGAGCGCAACCCUUAUCCUUUGUUGCCAGCGGUUAGGCCGGGAACUCAAAGGAGACUGCCAGUGAUAAACUGGAGGAAGGUGGGGAUGACGUCAAGUCAUCAUGGCCCUUACGAGUAGGGCUACACACGUGCUACAAUGGCGCAUACAAAGAGAAGCGACCUCGCGAGAGCAAGCGGACCUCAUAAAGUGCGUCGUAGUCCGGAUUGGAGUCUGCAACUCGACUCCAUGAAGUCGGAAUCGCUAGUAAUCGUAGAUCAGAAUGCUACGGUGAAUACGUUCCCGGGCCUUGUACACACCGCCCGUCACACCAUGGGAGUGGGUUGCAAAAGAAGUAGGUAGCUUAACCUUCGGGAGGGCGCUUACCACUUUGUGAUUCAUGACUGGGGUGAAGUCGUAACAAGGUAACCGUAGGGGAACCUGCGGUUGGAUCACCU